Molecule: ribosomal RNA, 712 nt
Filed under: uncultured bacterium
Lineage: Bacteria
Description: bacterial SSU rRNA
Rfam family: Bacterial small subunit ribosomal RNA
Source: RNAcentral
UAACACGUAUGCAACCUGCCCUCUUCAGGGNGACAACCUUCCGAAAGGGAGGCUAAUCCCGCGUAUAUCGGUUUCGGGCAUCCGAGAUCGAGGAAAGAUUCAUCGGAAGAGGAUGGGCAUGCGGCGCAUUAGCUUGACGGCGGGGUAACGGCCCACCGUGGCGACGAUGCGUAGGGGUUCUGAGAGGAAGGUCCCCCACACUGGUACUGAGACACGGACCAGACUCCUACGGGAGGCAGCAGUGAGGAAUAUUGGUCAAUGGGAGAGAUCCUGAACCAGCCAAGCCGCGAGAGGGAAGACGGCCCUAUGGGUUGUAAACCUCUUUUGUCGGAGAACAAAACCCGGGACGUGUCCCGGACUGCGUGUAUCCGAAGAAAAAGCAUCGGCUAACUCCGUGCCAGCAGCCGCGGUAAUACGGAGGAUGCGAGCGUUAUCCGGAUUUAUUGGGUUUAAAGGGUGCGUAGGCGGUCCGUUAAGUCAGCGGUAAAAUUGCGGGGCUCAACCCCGUCGAGCCGUUGAAACUGGCAGACUUGAGUUGGCGAGAAGUACGCGGAAUGCGCGGUGUAGCGGUGAAAUGCAUAGAUAUCGCGCAGGACUCCGAUUGCGAAGGCAGCGUACCGGCGCCACACUGACGCUGAGGCACGAAAGCGUGGGGAUCGAACAGGAUUAGAUACCCUGGUAGUCCACGCAGUAAACGAUGAAUGCUGGUUGU